RNAcentral lists this transfer RNA (73 nucleotides) under Corynebacterium lemuris. RNAcentral's name for it is "tRNA-Asn". It matches the Rfam family "tRNA". From Rfam's summary of the family: Transfer RNA (tRNA) molecules are approximately 80 nucleotides in length. Their secondary structure includes four short double-helical elements and three loops (D, anti-codon, and T loops). The record is from RNAcentral. Lineage: Bacteria; Bacillati; Actinomycetota; Actinomycetes; Mycobacteriales; Corynebacteriaceae.
UGGUCAUUAGCUCAAUCGGCAGAGCACCCAGCUGUUAACCGGGAUGGUGGAGGUUCGAGGCCUCCAUGACCAG